This is a small nucleolar RNA of Echinops telfairi (small Madagascar hedgehog), 133 nucleotides long. Its record names the gene SNORA70. It matches the Rfam family "Small nucleolar RNA SNORA70". Rfam says of the family: snoRNA U70 seems to be exclusive to mammals and is a member of the H/ACA class of snoRNA which contain H (ANANNA) and ACA box motifs. The record is from Ensembl. Lineage: Eukaryota; Metazoa; Chordata; Mammalia; Afrosoricida; Tenrecidae.
UUGCAGCCUUUUAAGCCAACUGUCCUCCUUCUUGUGGGGGCCAGUGUGCAAUGGCUGUGAACAGGAGACUCCUUGGUAGUGAACGAAGCCUGUUGGCAAGUCUAGGCUGCCCUAAGGGACCUUGGAGACAGCC